GCGGCUUCCGGGAUCUGGCUGGCGGGCGCUUUGUCUCGCCUUCGCCACAGUAGUCUCUUCCUGUUAGUCUCCGCUGCUACUUCUUGGCUCUGCAAGGCCCAGGUGGCUCUGCAGCAGCCUCUGCCACCUGUGACCUGCCGGUAUUGGGACAUCACUAGCUGACGCCAGGACACCCGGAAGCCGAGGAAUGGACUCUGUGGCGUUUGAGGAUGUGGCUGUGAACUUUACCCAGGAGGAAUGGGCUUUGCUAGAUUCUUCUCAGAAGAAUCUCUACAGAGAAGUGAUGCAGGAAACCUGCAGGAACCUGGCUUCUGUAGAAAUCAUGUGGUACAGAGACUGUGUGAAAGCAAAGAAGAUAGUUAGUAUGGACAAGUUGUCAGCCAAAUUCCAAAUCUUGAUCUGAAUGAGAACAUUUCUACUGGAUUAAAACAACGUGAAUGCAGUAUUUGUGGAAAAGUCUUUGUACGUCAUUCCCUCCUUAACAGGCACAUCCUAGCUCACUCAGGAUACAAAUCAUAUGGAGAGAAGCACUAUAAAUGUGAACAGUGUGGGAAAUUCUUCAUUUCUGUUCCUGUGCUAGAAGACACAUGAUAAUGCACAGUGGAAAUCGAGUUAUAAAUGUACGAUAUGUGGGAAAGCAUUUUAUUUUCUCAAUUCAUUUGAAAGACAUCAGAGAACUCACACAGGAGAGAAACCCUAUAAAUGUAAACAAUGUGGUAAAGCGUUCACUGUUUCCCGUUCUUGUCUAAUACAUGAACGAACUCACACUGGAGGGAAACCCUAGGAAUGUAAGGAAUGUGGGAAAACAUUCAGAUUUUCUUGUUAUUUUAAGACGUGUGAAAGGACUCACAUUGGAGAAAGACCCUAUAAAUAUACCAAAUGUGAUAAAGCCUUCAGCUGUUCCACUUCCCUUCAUGACCAUGGAAGCAUUCAUACUGGAGAGAGACCCUAAGAAUGGAAACAAUGUGGCAAAGCCUUUAGUCAUUUGAGUUCCUUUUGUAACCAUAGAAAUACUCAUACUGGAGAGAAAGCCUAUGAAUGUAAACAAUGUGACCAAGCCUUCAGUCGUCUCAGUUCCCUUCACCUCCAUGAAAGAAUUCAUACUGGAGAAAAACCCUAUGAAUGUAAGAGAUGCGGAAAAGCCUACACUCGUUCCGGUCACCUUACUCGCCAUGAAAGAAGUCAUGAUAUAGAGGCUGGGUGUGGUGACUCAGCCUCUAAUCCCAGCACUUUGGGAGCCCAGGAGUUCGUAACCAGCCUGGAUUAAAACAAUGUGAAACAACCUGGGCAACAUGGUGAAACCCUGUCUCUACAAAAAAUAAAAUAAUGCCAGGUGUGGUGGCUCACGCCAGCUACUCGGGAGGCUGAGGCAGGAGAAUGGCGUGAACCCAGGAGGCGGAGCUUGCAGUGAGCCGAGAUCGCACCACUGCACUCCAGCCUGGGCGACAGAGCAAGACUGUCUCAAAAAAAAAAGAAAGAAAAUAAGUAGCUGGGCAUGGUGGCACAUUUCAGUUGUCUUAGUUCUUUUUCAAGGGCAUAAAAAGCCACGGAGGUUGAGGGGAAGCCCUGUGCAUGCGGAUCACGAGGUCAGGAGAUCGAGACCAUCCUGGCCAACUUGGUGAAACCUUGUCUCUACUAAAAAUACAAAAAUUAGCUGGAUGUGGUAGCAUAUGCUUGUAAUCCCAGCUACUCAGGAG
Long non-coding RNA from Rhinopithecus roxellana (golden snub-nosed monkey), 1697 nucleotides. RefSeq lists it as uncharacterized. The record is from RefSeq and is a predicted model, not a curated record. Lineage: Eukaryota; Metazoa; Chordata; Mammalia; Primates; Cercopithecidae. The transcript is spliced from 3 exons.